GGUUGUUUGGCCGAGCGGUCUAAGGCGUCCGAUUCAAGUUAGCAAAGUUAGCUUUCCARUUGCAGUUAGCUGCAAUGGAACACUCGGAUAUCGUAAGAUGCAAGAGUUCGAAUCUCUUAGCAACCA
Transfer RNA from Hanseniaspora osmophila, 126 nucleotides. It matches the Rfam family "tRNA". From Rfam's summary of the family: Transfer RNA (tRNA) molecules are approximately 80 nucleotides in length. Their secondary structure includes four short double-helical elements and three loops (D, anti-codon, and T loops). The record is from Rfam. NCBI's taxonomy places the organism in Eukaryota, Fungi, Ascomycota, Saccharomycetes, Saccharomycodales, Saccharomycodaceae.